AGCCGUGCAGGCCAUAUAUUAAUUGGAUAGUACCUUUCAGAGAGAAGUAAAGACAUCAACGGUAUAGACAAACAAUGCUCAUAACAGCUAGCUCUCAUUUAUAAACUCAAUCAAGAGCAGUUUGAUCUCCUAUGUGUUCUUGAUGAGCGUGGAAAUUUCUUCAUGCGUUUCGCAAAUUGGAGAAUCAAAAUGUUGAGAGAGAUUCCAAAUAAGGAGGAGCAGAAGCCAAAUGAACGCAAGACUGUCACGUACGCUCUUCCAAAGUGCCGACAGGCCACCUGCCGUUAAUCCUUUUCAUCCUUGUCUUCAUCGAUCCAGAGGGAGGAACUGCAGCCAUGUAUGGCAGAUGCACUUGAUGGCCAGUAGCAAACAGGCAACAUCAAACGUGGCUGGCUCACAGGGACCACACUGUAGCACCCGGUGCACGAUUCACACAAUUUUUGGAUAUGCCCGAUCAUCCUCUUGUCUUGUAGCUCUUGACAUAUAUAGGAUACUGUGGGGGUGUUUGCGUUGCGUUCCAGCUUAAACACAUCUGCUCUACUUACCUCACCUAUGUGCUCAUGGGCAUCAUCUUUUUGCAUGCUUUGCUGCUUAAAGUUUGUAGCUUAUUUUUUUCUCUAGUGGAUUGCAGGCAGUGAGACCUGGUGAUAAGCACAUCUUUUUUUUUCCCUCUCCAUUGCUCCUGUCCUGUGUGGAUAAAUAUGGAUUACUCCAGCCCAAUCCCAUAACUGGUGGUGGUGACCUGGUCCAUGAUUCUCGAUGUCAAUUGGCUGAUGGUAUCUGACUGUGCAGGAGUAGGACUUGCACAACAGUGGUUUGGAGCCUAAGUGGGGAACUGGGAAUGAGUUCCACUAACCUGCUAGAUAGAGAUAGAUGUAUACCACCGUAUCAAAGCCUGACUGAACGAGCA
Oryza brachyantha (malo sina) is the source of this 910-nucleotide long non-coding RNA. RefSeq lists it as uncharacterized. The transcript has 3 exons. NCBI's taxonomy places the organism in Eukaryota, Viridiplantae, Streptophyta, Magnoliopsida, Poales, Poaceae. The record is from RefSeq and is a predicted model, not a curated record.